GAUGAACGCUGGCGGCGUGCUUAACACAUGCAAGUCGAACGAAGCACUUUAUUUGAUUUCCUUCGGGACUGAUUAUUUUGUGACUGAGUGGCGGACGGGUGAGUAACGCGUGGGUAACCUGCCUUGUACAGGGGGAUAACAGUUGGAAACGGCAGCUAAUACCGCAUAAGCGCACAGCAUCGCAUGAUGCAGUGUGAAAAACUCCGGUGGUAUAAGAUGGACCCGCGUUGGAUUAGCUAGUUGGUGAGGUAACGGCCCACCAAGGCGACGAUCCAUAGCCGACCUGAGAGGGUGACCGGCCACAUUGGGACUGAGACACGGCCCAAACUCCUACGGGAGGCAGCAGUGGGGAAUAUUGCACAAUGGGCGAAAGCCUGAUGCAGCGACGCCGCGUGAGCGAAGAAGUAUUUCGGUAUGUAAAGCUCUAUCAGCAGGGAAGAUAAUGACGGUACCUGACUAAGAAGCACCGGCUAAAUACGUG
Molecule: ribosomal RNA, 481 nt
Filed under: uncultured bacterium
Lineage: Bacteria
Description: partial 16S ribosomal RNA
Rfam family: Bacterial small subunit ribosomal RNA
Source: RNAcentral